UGGGGAAUAUUGCACAAUGGGCGCAAGCCUGAUGCAGCCAUGCCGCGUGUGUGAAGAAGGCCUUCGGGUUGUAAAGCACUUUCAGCGAGGAGGAAGGUGGUGAGCUUAAUACGCUCAUCAAUUGACGUUACUCGCAGAAGAAGCACCGGCUAACUCCGUGCCAGCAGCCGCGGUAAUACGGAGGGUGCAAGCGUUAAUCGGAAUUACUGGGCGUAAAGCGCACGCAGGCGGUUUGUUAAGUCAGAUGUGAAAUCCCCGGGCUCAACCUGGGAACUGCAUUUGAAACUGGCAAGCUAGAGUCUCGUAGAGGGGGGUAGAAUUCCAGGUGUAGCGGUGAAAUGCGUAGAGAUCUGGAGGAAUACCGGUGGCGAAGGCGGCCCCCUGGACGAAGACUGACGCUCAGGUGCGAAAGCGUGGGGCAGCAAACAGGAUUAGAUACCCUGGUAGUCCAGCGCUGUAAACGAUGUCGAUUUGGAGGUUGUGCCCCUUGAGGCGUGGCUUCCGGAGCUAACGCGUUAAAUCGACCGCCUGGGGAGUACGGCCGCAAGGUUAAAACUCAAAGGAAUUGAC
Molecule: ribosomal RNA, 570 nt
Filed under: uncultured bacterium
Lineage: Bacteria
Description: partial 16S ribosomal RNA
Rfam family: Bacterial small subunit ribosomal RNA
Source: RNAcentral